RNAcentral lists this ribosomal RNA (207 nucleotides) under uncultured bacterium. RNAcentral describes it as "partial 16S ribosomal RNA". It matches the Rfam family "Bacterial small subunit ribosomal RNA", at positions 568 to 774 of the family's 1533-position model. The record is from RNAcentral.
CGCGCAGGCGGUCUUGUCCGUCAGGUGUGAAAGCUCGGGGCUCAACCCCGGAAGUGCACUUGAAACAGCAAGACUUGAAUACGGGAGAGGAAAGCGGAAUUCCUGGUGUAGAGGUGAAAUUCGUAGAUAUCAGGAGGGACACCGAUGGCGAAGGCAGCUUUCUGGACCGAUAUUGACGCUGAGGCGCGAAGGCGUGGGUAGCGAACG